GCAGACACAUUCCAGCCAAUCAGCAGCAGACCCUCCCUCCAGACCCUCCCACCUCCUGGACAGCAUCCAUUUUACAUUCAUUGUGAAGCUGCAUUCUUAGUGAGCUGUCCAGGAGGUGGGAGGGUCUGGGAGGGAGGGUCUGCUGCUGAUUGGCUGGAAUGUGUCUG
This is a non-coding RNA of Pelobates cultripes (western spadefoot toad), 167 nucleotides long. The record is from the annotation of a GenBank genome assembly. NCBI's taxonomy places the organism in Eukaryota, Metazoa, Chordata, Amphibia, Anura, Pelobatidae.